AAACAUUUUCAUUGCUUGGAAAAAAAGUUACAACCAUACAAGGUCAAUUCAUGGUCAAAACACCAAAAAUACAUUACAAAAAAAGUCAGAAGUGGAAACUAUACAAAAAAACCCCUAAAUUUGACCUAAAGUUAACUUUUUAGUCAAGUGUUGACUUUUGGUCAGACAGUUGAUCAAAGUCAACUUAACCUUAGACCUAUUUCUUUCUUCAUCUUCAUGAUGCCCACUUUGAUCUCUCAUCUUUCUUAAUUUCCAUUCCAAAACUCUAUCAUGAUGCACUUUCAUGUUAUCUUCAUGUUCAAGUCUCUUCAUGCCAUGCCAUGACUUCCCUUCUUUUUCUUUUUCACCAUGUUAUACCAAGCCUAAAAGAGCCUUGCAACAUCACCAUUCAUCACACCAUGUUAUUCCAAACACAGAGAAAUGGAAUACACUCAAUUAAAUGCACACACACAUCAUGCCAAUAACAUACACAUACAAUAGAACACAUCAUGCAUUAUUUUUAUAAUAAUGCAAGCAUAUGUCAGUCCAAACCAGUUACAAUUCAUUACAUUCAAUUCCAUACAACGCACAUCAAAUUCCUCCAUACAAAAACAACUUAUAUAUAUCAACAUACCAAGUAUACAUGAACAUGAGGCUACAUACAACAUAUCAACAUACAAGAAUGCAUCAAGACAAAUUCCAUAUUCAAUGCAUCAAACAUGAACAAGCUCAUAACAACAACACCCAUACAUUUGCACAUACAAAAUACCAUACCACCAUGACAGUUUCAUGACAUAACGAAUUAUCCUAACAACUCAUCAUAUUCAUAACAGUCACCACUCUAAUCAUCUAACCUUAAGCUAAUUGUCGAAAUUUAGUCAUCUAACACUAAUAACCAUUAAGCUCCUAAAAUACAAUAGUUAAUCAAUGCACAACACCAAUGAAGCAUAGUCACAUACAACAUAUAAACAACUUUACUUCAGACUAGCAUACCAACUGUAACUAACCAUUAACAUUCACUAAUCCCAUUCAAACAUAACUAACCAAUUUUCCUAAUUUCUAACUGAAUUCCCACCAUUCAAAUUCACAUAACAGUUUCAAUAACAUAACAAUUAGAUCCAUAUUCUAAUUCAUUCUAAGCUAACAUAUAACCUCUAAUAGAAUUUAAACAGAAAACUAACAUUACUGACAUCCUAACCAAUUAACUUUCAGUUUAACAAACCUCAAUCAAUUUUCUAACUACACUAACUGAUUCAGUUUUUAACAGAAAUCUAACUCUGUUAAAUUCAAACUAACUUUCUCAUUGAAUUUUCUAACAGUUAACAGUUGCCCUAACUUGUAACUGCCACUGCCCGAAACCUUGCCCAUAUCGGUUAGAAUCUCUCGUCUAUAUAUUAUAACAUUCAUCUUCAUAAUAAAGGGACUUCAUCACUCUCAUCACCCUCACUCUUUGAACUCUCUCUACAAAACGAUCACAAUCAAACAGUCUCAUUCUACCAAAAAACCCUGCAAAUUCUCACCCUCUUAUUCCACUCUCUCUCUGAAUCACUCUCUGCAAUUCCAUUCUCUACAAACCAUUCUUCUUCAAGCUUCAUCAUCAAUUACUCUCUGCAUCACUCUCCAUCACACAAACACAAGAACAACACAGAGUAACAGCAGAAUUCGAUUUCCUACAUGCUAAGUUCGAGGCAGAAGAAGAAGAGGAGGUUUUUGCAGAAGAAAAAAGGAAGAGUAUUUAAAUUACAUACCUCUGGAUUUAUCUUUGUGACAUGCAUAUUCAUCCUCUUUUCAUUCCAAUAAUCU
This 1782-nucleotide long non-coding RNA is filed under the name Lathyrus oleraceus (garden pea). Its description in RNAcentral is "Pisum sativum (pea) long non-coding RNA (PSAT_LNC004027)". The record is from RNAcentral. Lineage: Eukaryota; Viridiplantae; Streptophyta; Magnoliopsida; Fabales; Fabaceae.